RNAcentral lists this ribosomal RNA (406 nucleotides) under uncultured bacterium. RNAcentral's name for it is "partial 16S ribosomal RNA". It matches the Rfam family "Bacterial small subunit ribosomal RNA", at positions 28 to 526 of the family's 1533-position model. The record is from RNAcentral.
GACGAACGCUGGCGGCGUGCUUAACACAUGCAAGUCGAACGAGUGGCGAACGGGUGAGUAAUACGUGAGUAACCUGCCCUCUGUUUGGGAUAAGCCUUGGAAACGGGGUCUAAUACCGGCUAACGGGGGAUGUGCUCGCGGCCUAUUAGCUUGUUGGUGGGGUGAUGGCCUACCAAGGCGGUGACGGGUAGCGGGCCUGAGAGGGUGAACGGCGACAGUGGGACGGAGAUGCGGCCGAGGCUAGUAAGGGAGGGAGCAGUGGGGGAUAUGGGAGAAUGGGCGAAAGAGUGAUGCAGCGACGCCGCGUGGGGGAUGAAGGCUUUCGAGUUGUAAACCUAUUUAGCAAUCGAAGGGGUAGGUGGAGAAGAAGCGCCGGCUAACUACGUGCCAGCAGCCGCGGUAAUAC